CGGUGAGAUAGUAAACGCCA
RNAcentral lists this non-coding RNA (20 nucleotides) under Arabidopsis thaliana (thale cress). Lineage: Eukaryota; Viridiplantae; Streptophyta; Magnoliopsida; Brassicales; Brassicaceae. The record is from RNAcentral.